GUUCUCUCUGAACAAGGACUGCCCUUGAUUUAAAAAACUUCAGAAAGAAGAGCAAGAUCAAACCCUCUUGUGUGCCUUCUGCCUAUGAUAAAGGUCAUAGGCAAUACUGUGCAUGAAAUGGCAGAUUCAGCUUAUAUAUAUAUAUACCCACACGUGCAUGCUGGCUAAGUCGCUUCCAUCUGGUCUGAUUCUUUGUGACCCUAUGGACUGUAGCCCGCCAGGCUCCUCUGUCCAUGGGAUUCUCCAGGCCAGAAUACUGGAGUGGGUAGCAAUUCCCUUCUCCAGGAGAUCUUUCUGACUCAGGGAUUGAACCCA
This is a long non-coding RNA of Cervus elaphus (red deer), 315 nucleotides long. RefSeq lists it as uncharacterized. The record is from RefSeq and is a predicted model, not a curated record. NCBI's taxonomy places the organism in Eukaryota, Metazoa, Chordata, Mammalia, Artiodactyla, Cervidae. The transcript is spliced from 3 exons.